This 548-nucleotide small RNA is filed under the name Pongo abelii (Sumatran orangutan). RNAcentral's name for it is "retained intron". The record is from RNAcentral. Lineage: Eukaryota; Metazoa; Chordata; Mammalia; Primates; Hominidae.
AGUCUAUCGCUGCGGUUGCGAGCGCUGUGGGGACCCUGUGCCGUGCCGCGCAGUUAGGCAGCAGCAGUGGAGCAGUAGCCGCCUUGGGAGGGAGCCAUGAAGCACUACGAGGUGGAGAUUCUGGAUGCAAAGACAAGGGAGAAGCUGUGUUUCUUGGACAAGUACCUCCCCAUCCUGAGUCUGGGCUCCUCGCAGAGCUGACGUCCCUGCGCCUGUGCUUCCCCCAGGUGGAGCCCCACGCCACCAUUGCGGAGAUCAAGAACCUCUUCACCAAGACCCGUGAGUCCUAGGCCCGGCCACAUUGCCCCUGCAACCCCUUUGACCAGGGACCUUAGGGUGGGAGGGAUCCCAUCCUGCACCCCUCUCCCAGGGGCCUGCAGAGAUGCCCCAGUGUGGCCCAGGCUUCUGGGGCGUGACUGGGGCAGGCGCCCCCACGUGGCACUCCGCAGGAACGCCCUUGCUAGGCUCUGGGAAGGACAAGAUCCUGCUUCUGCCCGCGCUCUUCUGGCCUGUGUCCUGAAACUGCACAAGCCUGAGGCUUUGCCCCU